RNAcentral lists this unclassified non-coding RNA (231 nucleotides) under plant metagenome. RNAcentral describes it as "partial contains small subunit ribosomal RNA, internal transcribed spacer 1, and 5.8S ribosomal RNA". The record is from RNAcentral.
UCUCCGUAGGUGAACCUGCGGAGGGAUCAUUACAGAGUUCACGCCCUUCCGGGUAGAUCUCCCACCCUGUGUUAUCGUCACCUUGUUGCUUUGGCGGGCCGCCCAGGCCUUGGCCCGGCUACCGGCUCCGGCUGGUACGCGCCCGCCAGAGGACCCUAAACUCUUGAAUAUCAGUGUCGUCUGAGUACUAUGUAAUAGUUAAAACUUUCAACAACGGAUCUCUUGGUUCUG